CUUUCCAGAUAUAAAGGCAGCUACCAAAUACACCAAUCCGCCGAACAGGAUAUCCAUACAAAUGCUCCAAACCAUACGAAUACUUCAAACAGCCGAACAGGAAAAACCAUACGAAUAGCUUUACACUCCCAAACAGCAUACUAGUAAAACCAUACGAAUAACCCCCCCCCCCCAAGUAAGAGACAAGGCUCUGUAUUGAGGGUCAGCAGGUGAUCU
Pelobates cultripes (western spadefoot toad) is the source of this 216-nucleotide non-coding RNA. NCBI's taxonomy places the organism in Eukaryota, Metazoa, Chordata, Amphibia, Anura, Pelobatidae. The record is from the annotation of a GenBank genome assembly.